Carassius gibelio (silver crucian carp) is the source of this 1629-nucleotide long non-coding RNA. RefSeq lists it as uncharacterized. NCBI's taxonomy places the organism in Eukaryota, Metazoa, Chordata, Actinopteri, Cypriniformes, Cyprinidae. The transcript is spliced from 4 exons. The record is from RefSeq and is a predicted model, not a curated record.
AAAUAAUAACUGUAUUAUUAUUGCAUGCUAAAGUAAAAGUUAUGCUUGCAUCAGAGCAGUUGGAUUACAACAAAAGAAAAUCAAAUUAAAUCAUUAUUGUGUGCUAAAAUUAAUUCAUCAUUAUAGUAUAUUUCAUCAUACAGAAUAUUUUGUGCAUAUUUUGAAUUUCAAAUAUUUGAUGUAAUUAGUAUUUCUGGACUGUCUCUAUAGAUACUGUGGGUUCGACUUAUAGCCCAUUAAGAUGAUGACUUCAGCAGUGUUGCACAAGCACUGAUCAGAAAAUACCCCUGCCUCGCUGAGCCUGGACCACACAAAUGGUAUGGCUGGAUAAACAGCCUUAAAUUUAAGAUGGCCAAUUAUCGCACAAAGCUUCGAAAAGCUGGAUGUGAGGAUGUAGCAAUCCUGGUUGAAAAUGGUUGAAUGAUGGCCAGCACUCUUCACAGAGAGACAGGUGUUUGCUGAGUUUAAUAGGAUCGCCAGUAAGAAUCUUGAGGGAGACUUUUUUGAGGCUCAGGACCAGUACACGCCACGUUUCAUCGAACUCUUCAAAACAAAGAAGGGAACUGUUGGCCAGAAACUCAGGGAGCUGAUUCAGCACAUAAGCUGUAAGACACCAGACGUGACAGUACUUCACUCUGUUGUCCUCAAAGACAUUCCCAUUUUACUCUGUGAUGAAUCCAGUGAAUUCUAUAAGACCUGCUCUGAUACAACGAGAGACGAGGCCCUAGAAUGCAUCACUGUUGGUGUGCUGACAGUUGUCAGUGAACAUAGUCCUCAUGAGGGUCAAAGCUCAGUGGACCUCCAGCCCAUCUCCACUGCCAUCAUUCUGGAGGGAGGUAUUGUCAUGGAUCAUAUUAAAAACUUGCCUCAGGCAGUUUGUCUGUUGUUUGGGCUUACAUAUAUAUUGCAUUUGGAUUACCCAAAAUGCAUGGCAAAUACACUCAACUUCAUUCAGACUGUGAUGCUUGGACUGAGAAAGAAAAAAACUCCCAUUAAAACUGUUAACUCUGAAGAACAGUCUUCUGGGUUAGAACAGUAAAGAGCCGUCAGCUGUCAGAUAGCACAGCACUUUGUAAGCUUUGCAGCCAUUAAUGUUUGAUGCUUUCAUGCAACUGUUCACGCUAAUUUACGAUCUCAUUUUAAAAAAGAAAAGAAAAAUUCCAUGGAAGUCUGUACCAUGUUAUGCAGGUAUGCUAAUGGUGGAAAUAGAGCUGUUUGCAAAGUGUUGUUAGUUAUUAUUAGAUGAUAAUGUCAGAAAAUAACCUAGCAAGGUUGUCCUGUUUACAUUUGUGUUUUUGGAAAACUUUUAAUAGUUUUAAUGUAGUACAAAUACAAACCCCAAGGACUGAUUUUUUUUUUUCUUUGUGGUGGUUUAAUCUUUGGACUGUUCAAUUUGAGAAACAAAAGCAUUUGUUGUACUUACAGCUUUGAUCAGAAAUGCACUGAUUUUUCCAUGCACUGAAGUCCUGUAGUUAUCAGGUUUUUACCUGUUUAAUAUUGGGAGACUCUUAUUAGCUCACAGAAAUGUGGUUUUAUUUUUUAUUUUUUUCCUUUAUUUUCUACAGUUAAAUCAAACAACAACUUUGUUGUUUAACUGCUGUUUGUACUUGAAUGUGCAUUGAAUAAAUG